Molecule: non-coding RNA, 79 nt
Filed under: uncultured Geminigera
Lineage: Eukaryota; Cryptophyceae; Pyrenomonadales; Geminigeraceae
Source: RNAcentral
AGAAAGAAAGAAAGAAAGAAAGAAACAAACAAACAAGGAAGACACGGAAAAGAGAACAAAUAUCUAACGAAUGUCUCUC